RNAcentral lists this ribosomal RNA (377 nucleotides) under uncultured bacterium. RNAcentral's name for it is "bacterial SSU rRNA". It matches the Rfam family "Bacterial small subunit ribosomal RNA", at positions 521 to 896 of the family's 1533-position model. The record is from RNAcentral.
UAAUACGUAGGAUGCGAGCGUUGUCCGGAAUUAUUGGGCGUAAAGAGAACGUAGGUGGCUUGUUAAGUUCGGUCUUAAAGACCGGGGCUCAACCCCGGGAAUGGACUGAAGACUGGCAGGCUAGAGGAUGUCAGAGGAUGGUGGAAUUCCCAGUGUAGCGGUGAAAUGCGUAGAUAUUGGGAGGAACACCUGUGGCGAAAGCGGCCAUCUGGGGCAUUCCUGACACUGAGGUUCGAAAGCUCGGGGAGCAAACAGGAUUAGAUACCCUGGUAGUCCGAGCCGUAAACGAUGGACACUGGGUGUAGAGGGUAUCAACCCCCUCUGUGCCGUAGCUAACGCGUUAAGUGUCCCGCCUGGGGAGUACGGUCGCAAGACUG